Molecule: ribosomal RNA, 630 nt
Filed under: uncultured Methylobacter sp.
Lineage: Bacteria; Pseudomonadati; Pseudomonadota; Gammaproteobacteria; Methylococcales; Methylococcaceae
Description: bacterial SSU rRNA
Rfam family: Bacterial small subunit ribosomal RNA
Source: RNAcentral
AGGGGAUCUUCGGACCUUUCGCUAUGAGAUGAGCCUGCGUUAGAUUAGCUAGUUGGUAGGGUAAAGGCCUACCAAGGCGACGAUCUAUAGUUGGUCUGAGAGGACGAUCAGCCACACUGGGACUGAGACACGGCCCAGACUCCUACGGGAGGCAGCAGUGGGGAAUAUUGGACAAUGGGCGAAAGCCUGAUCCAGCAAUACCGCGUGUGUGAAGAAGGCCUUAGGGUUGUAAAGCACUUUCAAUUGGGAGGAAAACCUGCCGGCCAAUACCCGGUAGCUUGACAUUACCUUUAGAAGAAGCACCGGCUAACUCCGUGCCAGCAGCCGCGGUAAUACGGAGGGUGCGAGCGUUAAUCGGAAUUACUGGGCGUAAAGCGUGCGUAGGCGGUUCGUUAAGUCAGAUGUGAAAGCCCUGGGCUCAACCUGGGAACUGCAUUUGAAACUGGCGGACUAGAGUUUAGUAGAGGGGAGUGGAAUUUCAGGUGUAGCGGUGAAAUGCGUAGAUAUCUGAAGGAACACCAGUGGCGAAGGCGACUCCCUGGACUAGAACUGACGCUGAGGUACGAAAGCGUGGGUAGCAAACAGGAUUAGAUACCCUGGUAGUCCACGCCGUAAACGAUGUCGACUAGC